Molecule: ribosomal RNA, 468 nt
Filed under: uncultured bacterium
Lineage: Bacteria
Description: partial 16S ribosomal RNA
Rfam family: Bacterial small subunit ribosomal RNA
Source: RNAcentral
GACGAACGCUGGCGGCGCGCUUAACACAUGCAAGUCGAACGGAAAGGCCAUGCUUGGGUGUGUAUCAAGAGUCGCAAGCGUGUGAGUAACACGUGAGUAACCUGCCCUUGACUGUGGGAUAAAUUCAGGAAACUGGGGAUAAUAGCGUAUAGCAGGUCCUGCUGCUUGGUGGGGGUUGGAAAGUUUCGGCGGGUGGGGAGGGACUCGCGGCUUGUCAGCUUGUUGGUGGGGUAGCGGCUUACCAAGGCAUUGACGGGUAGCCGGCCUGAGAGGGUGACCGGCCAGAUUGGGACUGAGAUACGGCCCAGACUCCUACGGGAGGCAGCAGUGGGGAAUAUUGCACAAUGGGCGGAAGCCUGAUGCAGCAACGCCGCGUGCGGGAUGAAGGCCUUCGGGUUGUAAACCGCUUUCGGCAGGGACGAAGCGAGAGUGACGGUACCGGGUAAAGAAGCCCCGGCUAACUACGUG